GCCCUUAGAGUUUGAUCAUGGCUCAGAACGAACGCUGGCGGCGCGUUUUAAGCAUGCAAGUCGAGCGGCAAGCGCGGGCUCUUCGGAGCCGGCGCCUAUAGCGGCGAACGGGUGAGUAACACGUACGUGAUCUGUCCUUGAGGUUGGGGAUAGCCUGUGGAAACAUGGGGUAAUACCGAAUGGCUCCCAUCUGCUGUGGCGGAUGGGGAAAGGUCCUUCGGGGCCGCCUUAGGGUGAGCCUGCGGCUCAUUAGCUUGUUGGUGGGGUAAGAGCCUACCAAGGCGACGAUGAGUAGCCGGCCUGAGAGGGUGAUCGGCCACAUUGGGACUGAAUAC
RNAcentral lists this ribosomal RNA (335 nucleotides) under uncultured spirochete. RNAcentral's name for it is "bacterial SSU rRNA". It matches the Rfam family "Bacterial small subunit ribosomal RNA", at positions 1 to 327 of the family's 1533-position model. The record is from RNAcentral. Lineage: Bacteria; Pseudomonadati; Spirochaetota; Spirochaetia; Spirochaetales.